Molecule: long non-coding RNA, 305 nt
Organism: Populus euphratica (Euphrates poplar)
Lineage: Eukaryota; Viridiplantae; Streptophyta; Magnoliopsida; Malpighiales; Salicaceae
Exons: 3
Source: RefSeq, a predicted model, not a curated record
GAGGGCACGGAACUGGAACGUCAAGAAGGCACUGAAAAUGCUGAAAGAAACCUUAAAAUGGAGCGCAGCACACAAACCAGAAGAAAUUUGGCUAGGAAGAGGUUGCUCAUGAAGCACAAAUGGGGAAACUCUACAGAUGAAAUUACUUUGACAAGCAUGGAAGAACAGUUCUUGACAUGACACCUAAUUGCCAGAUGAAGAUCCCCCCUGAAAAAGCAAAGCAAUGUUGGUACUCAUCUAAGGAGUUGGAAGCAAAAAAAGAGCCAGUGAUUGAGGUACACACAGAAGAUGAUAACAAGCAAUUG